CAUGCUCAACCUGCGCCGGAUUAAUAAAAUGAACAUGCGUGUCGAUGCCCCCCGCCGUCACAAUCAGUCCCUCUGCGGCGAGAAUUUCCGUGCACGCCCCGAUAAUCAGAUCGACCCCAUCUAUAACGAGGGGAUUGCCGCUCUUCCCGAUGCCCGCGAUUUUCCCGUCGCGGAUCCCGAUAUCGGCUUUAUAGAUGCCGGUAUAAUCGACGAUAAUCGCAUUCGUGAUCACCAGAUCCAUCGCGCCCUCAUCGCGGGUAAUCAGCGGAUGCUGGCCCAUGCCGUCGCGGAU
Small RNA from Paenibacillus dendritiformis C454, 292 nucleotides. It matches the Rfam family "5' ureB small RNA". NCBI's taxonomy places the organism in Bacteria, Bacillati, Bacillota, Bacilli, Caryophanales, Paenibacillaceae. The record is from Rfam.